GACGAACGCUGGCGGCGUGCCUAACACAUGCAAGUCGAGCGGGGUUGUCUCCGGCACUGGGUAUUCAGGCGGGAGGAAGCUGGAAUACCGAGUGCUGGAGGCGACCUAGCGGCGGACGGGUGAGUAACACGUGGGUAACCUGCCUUUGACUGGGGGAUAACACCGGGAAACCGGUGCUAAUACCGCAUGACAUGUGGAGGUGGCAUCACUUUCACAUUAAAGGAGAAAUCCGGUUGAAGAUGGGCCCGCGGCCGAUUAGCUAGUUGGUGAGGUAAUGGCUCACCAAGGCGACGAUCGGUAGCCGAGCUGAGAGGUUGGCCGGCCACAUUGGGACUGAGACACGGCCCAGACUCCUACGGGAGGCAGCAGUGGGGAAUAUUGCGCAAUGGGGGAAACCCUGACGCAGCGACGCCGCGUGGAGGAAGAAGGUCUUCGGAUUGUAAACUCCUUUGGCAGGGGACGAAGGAAGACGGUACCCUGAGAACAAGCCACGGCUAACUACGUG
RNAcentral lists this ribosomal RNA (505 nucleotides) under uncultured organism. RNAcentral describes it as "bacterial SSU rRNA". It matches the Rfam family "Bacterial small subunit ribosomal RNA", at positions 28 to 507 of the family's 1533-position model. The record is from RNAcentral.